Equus caballus (horse) is the source of this 636-nucleotide non-coding RNA. NCBI's taxonomy places the organism in Eukaryota, Metazoa, Chordata, Mammalia, Perissodactyla, Equidae. The record is from RefSeq and is a predicted model, not a curated record.
GUUUGUGACAUCACACAUGUUACAUGCUCACAGCAGCUUGCCCGUUUUCUGGCUUGAACUUUUAUCACAUCAAAAAGACCAAUGCCUGGCCUUUUCUAGACAGAUAAACAACUCUGUACCUGGAACAAAAAGACAAACCUACCAGCUCCAUAGUUGCCUAACACUCCUCAGAGAGGAACCAAGUGGGCCCUGCCUGGAUGCUAAUGGCAAGUUUGGCUCUUGGGAGCUGAAACUAAAAGGGACAAUGUAUUGUGCUCACAGGUACUAUACACAGGAGGAGCCUGAAGCUGACUAUGAGCCAAGUCUGUAGAGAGCACCCAAAGUCAAGAUUCCUUUAAGUCUCUCAGUCUUCAAAACCAAAGGUGAAGCGUGGAACUGGAUCCGGAUGACAAAGCAGAAAGGUAACCGCUCCCUGGCGCAGACACACCUGGUGGGAUGAGAUGGGACGGCGCCUUCCUUAUCUACUCACUUGGUAGAGCUAGUUCACCCUCUGCCCCUGGAUGGAAACGGAAAUGUUUGGUCAUUACAGUUACUGUUAGUCAUUAAAUAGUCUCACUUCAGUUAAAAUGGUCAGUUUCGGAUAGUAACCAAAAUUCAAACCAUGAUUAAAAGUUGAUGCCUCUCCUUGCCUCUGGA